AACUCUGAUCCAGCAAUGCCGCGUGUGUGAUGAAGGCCCUAGGGUUGUAAAGCACUUUCAACGGUGAAGAUGAUGACGGUAGCCGUAGAAGAAGCCCCGGCUAACUUCGUGCCAGCAGCCGCGGUAAUACGAAGGGGGCGAGCGUUAUUCGGAAUUAUUGGGCGUAAAGGGCUCGCAGGCUGCUUGAACAGUUAGACGUGAAAUCCCCGGGCUCAACCUGGGAACUGCGUUUAAUACUGUCAAGCUAGAGAAAUAGAGAGGAAAGUGGAACUCCCAGUGUAGAGGUGAAAUUCGUAGAUAUUGGGAAGAACACCAGUGGCGAAAGCGACUUUCUGGCUAUUUUCUGACGCUGAGGAGCGAAAGCGUGGGGAGCAAACAGGAUUAGAUACCCUGGUAGUCCAC
Molecule: ribosomal RNA, 402 nt
Filed under: uncultured Alphaproteobacteria bacterium
Lineage: Bacteria; Pseudomonadati; Pseudomonadota; Alphaproteobacteria
Description: bacterial SSU rRNA
Rfam family: Bacterial small subunit ribosomal RNA
Source: RNAcentral